GAUGAACGCUGGCGGCGUGCCUAAUACAUGCAAGUCGAGCGAACGGACGAGAAGCUUGCUUUUCCGAUGUUAGCGGCGGACGGGUGAGUAACACGUGGAUAACCUACCUAUAAGACUGGGAUAACUUCGGGAAACCGGAGCUAAUACCGGAUAAUAUUUUGAACCGCAUGGUUCAAAAGUGAAAGACGGUCUUGCUGUCACUUAUAGAUGGAUCCGCGCUGCAUUAGCUAGUUGGUAAGGUAACGGCUUACCAAGGCAACGAUGCAUAGCCGACCUGAGAGGGUGAUCGGCCACACUGGAACUGAGACACGGUCCAGACUCCUACGGGAGGCAGCAGUAGGGAAUCUUCCGCAAUGGGCGAAAGCCUGACGGAGCAACGCCGCGUGAGUGAUGAAGGUCUUCGGAUCGUAAAACUCUGUUAUUAGGGAAGAACAUAUGUGUAAGUAACUGUGCACAUCUUGACGGUACCUAAUCAGAAAGCCACGGCUAACUACGUGCCAGCAGCCGCGGUAAUACGUAGGUGGCAAGCGUUAUCCGGAAUUAUUGGGCGUAAAGCGCGCGUAGGCGGUUUUUUAGUCUGAUGUGAAAGCCCACGGCUCAACCGUGGAGGGUCAUUGGAAACUGGAAAACUUGAGUGCAGAAGAGGAAAGUGGAAUUCCAUGUGUAGCGGUGAAAUGCGCAGAGAUGUGGAGGAACACCAGUGGCGAAGGCGACUUUCUGGUCUGUAACUGACGCUGACGUGCGAAAGCGUGGGGAUCAAACAGGAUUAGAUACCCUGGUAGUCCACGCCGUAAACGAUGAGUGCUAAGUGUUAGGGGGUUUCCGCCCCUUAGUGCUGCAGCUAACGCAUUAAGCACUCCGCCUGGGGAGUACGACCGCAAGGUUGAAACUCAAAGGAAUUGACGGGGGCCCGCACAAGCGGUGGAGCAUGUGGUUUAAUUCGAAGCAACGCGAAGAACCUUACCAAAUCUUGACAUCCUUUGACAACUCUAGAGAUAGAGCCUUCCCCUUCGGGGGACAAAGUGACAGGUGGUGCAUGGUUGUCGUCAGCUCGUGUCGUGAGAUGUUGGGUUAAGUCCCGCAACGAGCGCAACCCUUAAGCUUAGUUGCCAUCAUUAAGUUGGGCACUCUAAGUUGACUGCCGGUGACAAACCGGAGGAAGGUGGGGAUGACGUCAAAUCAUCAUGCCCCUUAUGAUUUGGGCUACACACGUGCUACAAUGGACAAUACAAAGGGCAGCGAAACCGCGAGGUCAAGCAAAUCCCAUAAAGUUGUUCUCAGUUCGGAUUGUAGUCUGCAACUCGACUACAUGAAGCUGGAAUCGCUAGUAAUCGUAGAUCAGCAUGCUACGGUGAAUACGUUCCCGGGUCU
This 1371-nucleotide ribosomal RNA is filed under the name uncultured bacterium. Its description in RNAcentral is "bacterial SSU rRNA". It matches the Rfam family "Bacterial small subunit ribosomal RNA", at positions 28 to 1381 of the family's 1533-position model. The record is from RNAcentral.